Molecule: long non-coding RNA, 2606 nt
Organism: Pan troglodytes (chimpanzee)
Lineage: Eukaryota; Metazoa; Chordata; Mammalia; Primates; Hominidae
Exons: 2
Source: RefSeq, a predicted model, not a curated record
GGUAUCUGCUCUGCAGAAGUGGCCUUGUCUUGGCAACAUUCCCUUCAAGGAUGCUAAUGCCUUAGGGCAUGAAUUACUUGCUUUGGGGUACUAGAGAAGUACCAGAAGCUUGGUAUGGGCUGAGCUAUCCUGAUGGCAUUUUCAGAAGGAGAGGUACGUGAAGUUAAAGCACUUGCUGCUCAAUUUCAGAUAGAUAGUACUUUGUUUGUACUGCAAAUGGCAUAAGCAGGUCUGUCCUGCAGGAUGCUGGGAAGAUGACUGCAUAACAUUCGUGGGAUAGAGAAGCCAAGUUCUCAAGUCUUCCGAUGAAGGUGACUCUGGCUUGUGUAAUAAAGUGUUGGCAGAGAUCGCCGAGGCCAGCAUGCAUGCUAGAGGUUCUGCAAACACUGUCAUUCGGCAGUGUACACGAUGAUUAGUUGUCUCAUCAGGGAGAGCUCAGAAGAGGUCCCUGCAGAGAACCACCCACUCUGGCUGAAGGACCAGCCUUUGUGAUCCAACCAGCACACCUCCUAUUAUGAGGUCAUGUCUUGCUUAUCCUAAGACCGCUGGUUGGCAGAGGUCUUGAACCAUUAAGAGUACAUGAAGUUAAUCUAUUUAUUUGCUCAUCGAUCUCUUUUAUGAAACACUGUAGAACCCUGAGGUGCAAGCAGCAUCAUUUGAGAUGCCUCUGAGGCAGGAUAAUGCGCGGGAGAGACGUGUUCUUCCCCACACCAUCCUGGUCAUUUGGGGCUGGCACCAUGAUGGCUCUGGAACGUUGGUGGCUGUGCCCAGUGACAGGCAGGAGAGAAGCGAUGGUUCCCCGUGGGGCCUGCGAUUCUUGGUGAAGCAGCAGUUGUUUCCAGGAGGAGACGUGUGAUGAGCAUUCAUGAGAGCCCUCAGGGACAUCAGAAAAUACUGGAUGGAAAGAGUUUGCACCGAGUGGAGGUUUUACGUUGCAAGUAUGGGCUGGAGCCAACAAGUCUCUGUUAUGAUUUUAAUAGUUGCCACUGUACACAGAGGAAGAUGAAGUCUGGAUGAAAUUUGGGCCACAUGAAUCUAUUGGAUCCUAGAUACCAGCAUUCUAUUUAUCUGAAUAAGAUAAAAUUCAUGGCAAUUCAACCUACUUCUGGAGAAAGACCAGCUGUAGACAGCAAACAGUCUCAAUAGAAUCUUUUAGGAGAAAUAUAUAACUCCAAUUUAUAAAUAACAGAAGGUUUCAAGUCAAAAUCCUAACCAAUCUGCUUUGAUCUCAUUGAACAAGACUCGCUUGCAAUGACUGAAGUGGAUAUAAAACAUGAGUUCACUUAUAUGUGUCCCAUGAAACUUUUAUUACCCAUUUAUCCUUCUUACCUAGAACAAUGAACAUCAUCGCAGUGACAACCAUGCAGAAUUAGCAGAAUCUGAAUUACUCCAGAUAUUCUCAUUCUUAAGUUCUGCUCAGGAAGUGUAUAUUCAUGCCAAGGCCAUGGCACUCAGGUACGAUAUCAGAAAUUUUCAAGGUAAUUCACAUAAUGACUUAUGAAAGAAAUAGUCCACUAAUUCCAGAAUACAAUUCUGUCAAGAUUGAAAACUCUUUUUAGGGCCACAGAGUAUUAGACUUGAAAGAAUUUGGGAGAUUAUUGCAUUUCCUAAUAAAAGCACUGCCAUGGUAACAGGUGAUCUGCUUUCUGCUUGAAUAUUUUUAACUUGGGAGAACUUACCAUCUCCCAGUACAGCCUGUGUAAUAUUCUGAAUAGCCUCAAUUAUUAGAAAGCUCUUUCUUCUAUUAAACUUAAAUCUUCUUUUUAAUAACUUCUAACCCAUGGCCACUAGCUUUGUUCUCUAGGAUUAUAUGGGGUAAAAAUAAUCCCUGUUGCUCACACGGGCCCCUCACACUUUAAAGACAGUUAUCACGUGCUUCUAUCAUGUUACCAAGACAAGGCCACUUCUGCAUGGCAGUGCUCUUAUUAAGAAAUGCAAUAAUCUCCCAAAUUCUUUCAACUCCAAUACUCUAUGGUCCUAAAAAUGUUCUGUUGUUUAAGAACACUCCAUGUUCCUUCCAUUGCUCUUCAGAUACUUAGUUCAUCCAAGCUCACACUAGCCCCUUUCCACCCUCACAAUUUAGCACUUCUCAGGUCAGGCUUGGGUAGUAAAAAAUUUGACCUUGCCCAAAGAUAGAUGUGGCCUUUUCCAUGAGCUUCUGGGAGGUAAACAACAUCAUACUCACUGGGAGUGCCUUUGUUAUGGUGAGGGUUGGCCACAUAAGAUCUUAGGGUAGGAUGGGCCAUACCUGAUAGUCAUAUGGUCCAAGCUGGUUGCAAGAGAAAGAUCAACCAUGGGAUUUAGGGCAGGGGCUUUGGGGUCACACAGUACCAGUCCACCUGAAGACUGAGUUAGACCACAUGGGAAAUCAAUCAAUCAAUCAUGCCAGUGUAAUGAAACCACAGUAACAACUCUGGAUACAAGGCUCAGGGACUUUUAAAUAAUUCUCAGGAAGAAAGAAACUGCAGAGCCCAAGUGGAAUUCUGGAUAUAAUGAAAUCCUGCCCCAGCCUGGUGGCUUCUCUCAGAUCUUUCCUCCCGGCUUGCCGCUUCAUGAUCUCUGAACCUCCUGUGUCUCCUUCGUGAUAAACUUGCAUUUUUAGAACA